This is a long non-coding RNA of Daphnia magna, 458 nucleotides long. RefSeq lists it as uncharacterized. Lineage: Eukaryota; Metazoa; Arthropoda; Branchiopoda; Diplostraca; Daphniidae. The transcript has 2 exons. The record is from RefSeq and is a predicted model, not a curated record.
AUGACAACUUGACGAGAUCUUGACACGCACGUUGGAAGUGUACGCGUGUUUGCACCUCGAUGAGCGUUGCACAAUAACAAAGCUCCGUUGGUGAGCGUAUUGAUUAAUAAAGGUAUUUAAGGCAUUAUCCAAUUAGUCAUGCCAUAAUGUCUCACUUUGUUGGAAGCUAGGUGAAGUCCUUGAGUGCUUCAAGGACUUUGUUUUGUUUUAGCAGUAUUUUUUCCUUCAACAAUUAAUCUUGCAUCUCCAACCGUGGAAUGAGUUACAUGUGACUCGAGACAAACAAACAGUGCAAUUGCAACAAUAUAAUUAGUCAGCGAUAUAAAUUUGCCAUAUCUUCAUGCCAACCACAAGGAUUCUGCUUUUGCACACACCUUCAUUAUUAAUGUGUUUCUUCAGGUAUGGUCACUAUCAGCAGCUUUACACACAGUGUGCAUCGUGAAUACAUCAAUCCCAGA